Molecule: long non-coding RNA, 2130 nt
Filed under: Neodiprion pinetum (white pine sawfly)
Lineage: Eukaryota; Metazoa; Arthropoda; Insecta; Hymenoptera; Diprionidae
Description: uncharacterized LOC124214199
Source: RNAcentral
UGCAUCAUAUCCCAGUAGUAAAAAUCGAUCGAACAUCGCAAUACGGGACGAAGGGAGAAGGGUACGGGAAAUCCGAAGAUCGUGAAGUGCAAACGAAGAAGUCUGUCAGCCAUAGUAAAAGCAGUAUAGAAACAGUAGGCAGAAAUUGCAUCAGCCGUUUUAAAGUUCUCUCAACGACCACGACAGCGACCCAGUCAUUACAUCGUACGCGAAUCGUAUAUAAAUUGCACGAUCAAGCCAACCGUUCUCCAGUCUUCUUUCCCACCACCAUCGUAAAAGUAUAUAUAUCGAGGGUACAUAAGAAAUCGACAUGAGAAAUAAAACAGCUGCACGUAGGACGGAUGAGCAGCUAUUUUUAUUAGCAAGUAUUCACCAGUUCACCAACUACCAACGUGGCCCAGCAUCGAGCACCGAAGAUACUUUUCUCUCUGCCUCCGGCGUCUCUCUUUUGUUGGAAUUGUCAGAAAGCAGGAAUCUGACGACCAAGGCCUCUGCCCGUUGAUCUCGUUCCGGGUUUCGUUGUCCCUGGUCCCUUAGGAAACGGGGCAGCGACACACGAAUGUCGUCUAGAGUUGCUACGCGGGCGUAAAAAUCGCACAACUGCUCCACUGGGCGAUACACACGCGGAGGCAAGUGUCAACUUACGAAACCGAUGUGCAAACUAAAAAUCUCCAUCGUGGUACAGCGGCGACUAUUUACCACUGCAUCGUACGAUUUUACACACCAACGAUACUUGCAGUCAUCGGUAAGUGUAACACACUCCUGCCAGCUGCGCCCGUGCAUUAUCGAAUGCCAUAAAACCGUCAGGGCACGUCUCGAGUUUCAUGGUGCAGAGGGGGUUCGUUCCCGUCGGCUCACACCGAGGGGGUGGUAAUCAUCUCGUGCACCCUGGAGGAUUUCUUGAAGUAUGAGGUAUUAGAUACAGCCACGUGGCACCGCAAGUCUAAAAUUAAUAUUUCAGCAAUUCAGCUUUAGUCAAACAACCUCUGAUAGUUUUCAUCAUUGCGGAUUCGCCACAUGUACACCUUCAAGUAUCCGAAGCCUGUAAUAUUUUGUCUUGUAACAUAAAUUUGGUACGCAGUGGGUAAGUUGUAAUAAUCCUUCCGCCAUUGCCGCCUUGCCAAAUCGAAUCCUGCAGUUCGCGUUACAUUCGAAGCGCAUUGUACCGGGGAGACCGGAAAUUGUUUCACACUGUAACAAGUCUGUUACUCGACGAUGGAGCUCUGGAGAGGUCUGGAAGUCACUGCAUGCGCGUACUGACUUUAAGGCCAAGAGUAUUAAACUUGGAGGAGGCAAAUACGAGCGAUACAAGGAUCACAUACAUAGCGACGGAGAAGAUUUUAGCAUGCAGGACGUGGAGCCCCUAAUGCUAAAAUAUCGUCUGUACACCCGCGGCCAACCCUCCGCAUUCCAAAAGCAUGAAAGCUCGGAUGGUUCUGUGAGAGCUGCCCAGUAAAAAUUCGCAUGCCAAAGGCGGUAUUCCUUUGGUAACCGAACACUCACGUGUCAGUUGAUUACAGACAACACGUCGUUCGCCAUUACAUGUGCUUAUUCAUUUUCGAUCUCGUACGCGUGCUUAUAUUGUAUAUAUAUAUAUAUAUAUAUACGUACAUCUGUCGAUCUCUGAAUUACGGAAGUAAAUAGAAAUCUUUUUCACCCGAUACCGAGCAAUUCAUGCCCAUAUUUCGGCCAGAGUAUCAAACCAAAUGUGAAGACUUCAACGUCAACGUUACCACUCGACUAUGUAUUACGGAGGUACAAUCAUCAAACGUCAGAUGUGUCGGUUCAAUAUUUACUCCGUCCGAAGACUUCAAGGUAAUUAUUUGACGGCUGACCUGACAGCAACCAAUAUUUGAUUACUCAACCAAAGCUAACGCGAGUUGUUACUAUGAACCGUUUGCUAACUGGUUUCUUUUUUUCUUUUACACGAAAUUGUUUCUAGGGAAUGCCUCGUUAGGUAAGAUAGAGGUAUAUUAUCUAGUCAAUAAACUACGUCAACUUAAUAUUGUCUCGCUCGUUACAUUUCUACUUUAAAUAAUUCACGGAGCAUAUACUAGCCAUAAAAGAGACAGGCAUUUGAAUGCCACGAUCUUCACCUCAUGUCGAGAUUCAUGUUAGUUUACAAAUUAU